ACGGGAGGCAGCAGUGGGGGAUAUUGCACAAUGGGGGGAACCCUGAUGCAGCAACGCCGCGUGAGGGAAGAAGGUUUUCGGAUUGUAAACCUCUGUCUUUGGUGACGAUAAUGACGGUAGCCAAGGAGGAAGCUCCGGCUAACUACGUGCCAGCAGCCGCGGUAAUACGUAGGGAGCAAGCGUUGUCCGGAAUUACUGGGUGUAAAGGGUGCGUAGGCGGGAUUUCAAGUCAGGUGUGAAAUCCAUCGGCUCAACCGGUGAACUGCACUUGAAACUGAGAUUCUUGAGUGAAGUAGAGGCAAGCGGAAUUCCGAGUGUAGCGGUGAAAUGCGUAGAUAUUCGGAGGAACACCAGUGGCGAAGGCGGCUUGCUGGGCUUUAACUGACGCUGAGGCACGAAAGCGUGGGGAGCAAACAGGAUUAGAUACCCUGGUA
This 434-nucleotide ribosomal RNA is filed under the name uncultured Clostridium sp. RNAcentral describes it as "partial 16S ribosomal RNA". It matches the Rfam family "Bacterial small subunit ribosomal RNA", at positions 341 to 792 of the family's 1533-position model. RNAcentral also lists the same sequence under 2 other names. Lineage: Bacteria; Bacillati; Bacillota; Clostridia; Eubacteriales; Clostridiaceae. The record is from RNAcentral.